Molecule: long non-coding RNA, 9309 nt
Filed under: Triticum aestivum (bread wheat)
Lineage: Eukaryota; Viridiplantae; Streptophyta; Magnoliopsida; Poales; Poaceae
Description: long non-coding RNA (TAES_LNC020601)
Source: RNAcentral
CAGCCAUGAUUGCCAGCCAGCCACCACCAUGUAAAUGUAAUAAAUGUGUGGCCUAUCUAGUGUGUUGCUGAUAGAAAUAUAGAUGUGUGGCCUAUCUAGUGUGCUGCUGAUAAUCUAUUUUUACCUCACUUGGCAGGCACCAUAAUCUGUUUUUCCUAACUGUACUGUAGGAAUAAAUGUGUGGCCUAUCUAGUGUGCUGCUGAUAGAAAUAUAGAUGGAAGAUUUGUUGACCAGUUAAAUUGAGCUUACUGUCAAUUCUGCUUAUAAGCUAUGUUUGAUGCUGCCUACAGGUUCUUAUUCUUCUUCUUUUUUUGCAUAGGUGAAGUAUGAAGUGUGAAGCUAUGAAGCCUAUCAGCAAGAGUAGCAUAUUAUGUAUUGUAAUAUUAGGCAAAGUGUAAUAUUAGUCAGAGUAGCAAAUUAUGUAUUGUAAUAUUUAGUGUUGUUUUGGAUGAAUUUCAUUUGCUCUAUAAUCUGUUUGAAAUAUUGACUGUGUAUAUAAUUUCAAUACCUAUGAAAUGGAAACCUGACCAGGGGGACCCACUUAUGAAAAUUGGUUGACAAAUUUUGAAAUUUCUGAUGUGUGGGUCCAAUUGUGAUAUCAGCAUGACAAGUGGGACCAAUAUGACCAGUGGGACCAGCGUAAAAAUAAUGUGGCUAAAAAUAGAAAAUUAAUAGUAAUGGCCCAGAAAUUAAAAAGGCCGAAUAGUUGGGCCUAUAGCUGACCAAAAUUAAUAAGAAAAAAAUAUAUAAAAAGGUUGAAUUGUUGGGCUUGACCCAUGUAAAACAUCAAACUGGACCGGGCUGAAUCUUAUCAACGACCUUUUCAAUUGGUCGCACUUUUGCACGUCAGAUUGACACGUCGGAUCCUAUGUGGCCUGGUUAGAGAGCUAGCGACCAAAACAGAACGUCAUAGAAUCAACGACCUUUUUUUUGGUCAUGGAAUUCCACGACCUUCUCACAGAGAAGGUCGUUAAUUUUAGUUUACGACUGCCAGCUUUUGACCUUCUAUUAUUUGUCACAAAAAGGUCACAAAUAAAAACAAUUACCUUUCAGUGACCAAUAGUGAUGGUCGCAAGUUGAUAUAUCUCUUGUAGUGUCCGCUGACAGCUUUUACAAUAUGACAUCACGUUUGUCCGGUCAUAAUCUCAAACCGUUUUUCGUCGGCCGCUCCACGUUUCGAGAUGCGGUUGCCAUUGGCACAUCUUGUUGAAGCAGAUAUCGUGCCCCCUUAUUACUGGAUUCUCAUCAAUAUGGGCGUGGGUGACCCAACUGUGCCGUUUUGCACGGCACUUGGGAAUAGGCGAGUUCAAGGCGAGUGGGGAGAUUCUUGAUAUUCACAGCCUUUAUAAGGGGAUAGGGAUUACCUACCUUCAUCCCCACCUCAGCUCCUCAGUCCUUCCGUCCUUGAGCUCCAGUGCCCAAGCUUCUAGAUUUUCCCUCAAUCGAGAAAGCACUCCAAAAAUGUCCGGAUCCGAAGCUGGGGGUAAGUGGAUGGCCUCCUCCGUUAAGAAAAAGGAUAUCAAGGCGCUCCGGGAGGCUGGAUAUCUGGCCAAGGAGAUCGCUCACUGACUCCCGGAUAAGGGACAGAUCGUCCCUACUCCAGAGCCCCACGAGAGAGUUGUUUUUCUCACACAUUUCUUCCGUCGGCUGGGUUUCCCUAUCCACCCUUCAUCCGUGGACUGAUGUUUUACUACGGGCUAGACUUCCAUGACCUAGCCCCCAACUUCAUCCUCAACAUCACGGCAUUCAUUGUCGUGUGCGAGGCCUUCCUCUGCAUCUCGCCUUAUUUUAGCCUAUGGUUGAAGACCUUCAACGUGAAGCCGAAGGUGGUGAGCAGCAAACAAGCAGAAUGCGGAGCCGCCAUGGUGGGAAAGAUGCCCAACGUUACCUGGCCCGAAGGCUCAUUCGUGGAGAUGGUGAAAGGGUGGCAAUCGGGUGGUUCUAUAUCACUGAGCCGCGCGACGCCAACUGGGUGGCGGCCCUCGAAUUCAGAUCUGGAUUCCCGAUGCGGCUCACCUCCUGGCCAGAGAGGGGCCUAACCUGGGGUCCUUCAGAAGAGCUGACUGGGCCCCAUACGUGUGUCCAGAACAUGAUGGAUAGGAAGAUCAAGCUCGUCAAUGUGGUCUAGGUCAUGCUCAUUCGCCGGGUCCUUCCGUGGGAGUAUGAUCCGGCCAAGUACCAGACGCUACAAGAGCUCUUCGGCACAACACACGAAGAAAUCUGGAAAGUGCUCUUCAAGGCCGGCGAGACGCCACAGCCCAUAACUGAGGAUCGCGGUCUUAGCUUAAAACGCCAGGCUAACCCGGUAAGCUCUUCUAAUGUUUUUAGGCGUACCUUUUACUAGCAUAUUUUGAGAAAAAUCCCAAGCCUUCCUACCCGUGUUUUCAGGCCUGGAUCAAGAUAGCUGAGGGGAUUAACAGUCCGGCUCCGCUGCCCGAGGACCAAGAAUUCCCAUUGUUGAAGAAAAUGCUUUUUCCAGCACCUUAUGAGGUGCCAGGGAAGAUGGCCAAGAAAGCGGCCAAAGGGGCCAAGAAGGGCCCUCGCCGAAAAGGCGCUCCGGACAUGAUGUCCGAAGACGAAACUUCCUCUUCGUCUGCUGACGACGAUGACGAAGAGGAAGAAGAAAGCGAGUCCCCACCUGAAGUGGGAAGGAAGAAGAGAGCGGCCUCCACAAAUCCGGAGGCGAAAGCGCCUAAAAGGGUUAGAGGCUCCCACACAGAUAACUCUGUGUGGGAUGUUGACAGCAGUCCGGAGCGACCUCGCCGGACCAAGCCUCAUGUCGCCUCGUAAGUACCAGGAUAUACCUUAAACCAUGUUAUUGCAGUCCAGCACAUGAUGGCUCCCCGCGAUCCUCGUCAGAGGGAUCGCUAGACUCAAAGGAGAUGGCUAGCAUGUCUCUGCCACCUGCUCAUUCCGACUCUCCCAAGGGUGACGACGAGGGGGUGUUGCAAAAGACCUUUCGCGACCAGGGGCUUCCGGUGAUCGUCGGGGUGAUGCCCCAGGACAAUUCCUCAACUGCCGGAUGCAUGGGGGAAAAAGCCCCUGCGAGGGCUGGUGACGAGGGCCGGGUUCCCUUCGGGCCUGAGCCAGAUACCAUUCCGGAGACCUAUGCGGCUCCGGAGUCCAGCGAACGGCAUGCUCCGAAAGGAGGGAAUGUGCCUGUUCCACCGGUGACCUCUAUCCAACUAGAGGCACCGGAUAACCUGCUGGAGGCGCUACGAGGCGCCUCUAUUGUGGAUGCAAACCGCGCCCUUAUGGGCACGGUAAUAGAGAAUGUACAGUUCGUGAAAAGCGGACUGACCGAAGCCUGCACUAGCCUUCUAUCAGGCUUUCAGGUAAGUAAUGCGUUUGUAGGGAGAAUAUCAUAGUAUAGACUGUAGCCCCUGAUGCUCUGUUUGGUGUUCGGAAAGAAAAGGCCAAACAGAGGAUUGAAAAUAAAUAUCGCAGGAGUCAAACAUAAGUUGUCUUGGUGAAUAAACAGGUGUCGCUGCAGGCUGCCACCGCUCAUGCUGCAGAGGUCUCCAGACUGAAUCGGAAAUUGGAGCGGGCCGAGGAAGAGCUCAGCCUCGUAAAGAAGCAGCUAGAGGAUAGCCAAGGUAUGUGUUGUCCUGCUAGUACCUUUUAAGAAAAAAAUAAAAAGUCCGUCUAGACUGAGUUGUCAUGAACUUUAUUAGGGGCCACGACCGAGGUGGGAGCCCUCAAGAAGGCGUUGGCCGAGGCUGAGGACAAAGCGGCCAAGGAACAUGCCGCGUGCGAGAAGCACGAGGCCCAGGUCGGUGAGGCGCAACAACAGCUCCAGGACGCGAUCAAGAGAUUUGUGUCCGUGGAACGUGAUUGUAAGGCGCAAGAGUCUGAACUGGCGAAGGCCCGCCGGAGCACACAUGAUGCACGAGCCAAAGCCCAGAAUGCCCUCCAGGAAAUUCAGGCACCCAAGGAGAUUGCGGUGGGUAAUUCUUUCACCGUGCAAAGCAAGUAUGUUAAAGAAACGUUCCUUAUACUUAUCCGAAUUCGGGUUUUCCAAGGGCGUUUACGGAUCUGCCACGUAGUAUAUAGGAUGAUGCCGAGCAUUACAGAGCCGAAGAAGGGAUGUCUACAGAGAAGCUAUUCUGGUCCCAGUAUCUUGGACCGGAACAUCCGUUGCCCUUCAUCGACCAGCUGAAGCAGUUGGUCGAGCUGCACAAGUCGGCGGAGCUAGCCAUCAAGGACUUGAUAGUCCGGCUAUGGCCUGCCGAUCCUGUACCUAGCAGCUAUUUCAGACUUGUUAAGCGGCUUGUAAAUGCCUGUCCGCGGCUCAAAACCGUGAAGCGGUCGGUCUGCAUUAAAGGUGCGCGUAUGGCCUUUGCCCGCGUCAAGACUCAUUGGGCAAAGCUGGAUGCCAAGAAGCUGAUGACCGAGGGGCCGCCAGAGGGCAAGGAGCAUCGUCGACCCGAGCUCUAUUUUUAUGGCGUCCUAGAGGGGUCCCGCCUUGUGGCGGAACAAUGUUCGAAGGAUAUCAUUUUCCCAUGAGAACAUUUUUAUUAUCCCGUCCUCUAAUAUGGAACAAUGAUGUUAUGUAUUAUAAUGCUUGUGAUUUACAUUUUACCUCCUGUGCGGCCGUUUAUGAAAUCUGAGGGUUGACCAGCUGUCAGCUUCUGCCCAUGUAAAUAGUAUGGGGGUGUUCAGGAUAAAUCUAAACACUCCUUACUCCACAUUCUAGUCCUUAAAGGAGGUGUUUAGCGCAACGAACAAGGCAAUCAGACUAUGCGGCCUUUACCGCCCUCACUUAGCCAUAGGAGUUUGACAAUUAAAAAAGUUGGCGAAGCCCCUGGUAUUCGGAAGGCUGAACUAGGGGCGUUAUACACGCCUAAUCGGAGGGACCGAUUCUUCACACGAAGCGGAAAAAAAUCUCUAACGAUUUGGAACCUCUCGAACAGCUAACCGGCUCUCGCCGCAUCAUGACAGUCAGUCUUCGGCUUUCUGUACUGAGGUGCUCGUCCGGAAGAACCGAGACACAAUCACAGUAGUUCUCCCUUUACUACCCUAGCCGAUAUAGCGGAACGUAAGGUAGUAAGCACAGGAGCCGGGCAACCCAACUAUUGACCAAAGACAUGAUUCGGAGCCCAUGCAUAUAAUGCUAUAAGUUUGGGGUGCCGAACUAUACUGAAAAAGUGUUCGGACUUUUAUUGCCAUACAAUGGGGUGUAAUGAAGCCCCUGGCGCAGUAAUAUGUACCAUAGUGUACGCGUGUAAUAUAUAAUAUACACAAAGGCGAGGAAACAGGAAAAAUUAAGUAAUAAGCUGACGUCACCAUUUAUUCACCAUUGUGAUGUAAUUAGUACGUCGAGGCGUACUUUGUGCGAGUAAUGCGAUAAGCAAGUAAAGCUAUUUAACAUGUCGCAACCAAGGGCGAGCUACGUGCCGGUAUGUAAAAAAAGUAUGGCAAUCGUUUAAUAGACACCACUUGGGGAUUCCCUUGUAUGCCAGAGCUUCUUGUCUCCUUCGUGUGUUCUGUAAGCGGGUCGUCCAUAUAGACCUCGAAAAGAGAAAAGACCCAUGAUAAUAAAAAGAUAAAAUAAAGGCAUGCGAAUCCUAGGGUCGGUCAAGCCGCACUAUGGAUCGCGAGUGAGUUAUGCCUCUGUAAGUACCCAUGAGGUUUUGAGUGCGUAAUUAUGUACGCGCGGCACGGAUGCCCCUUUCCUCAUCGGGGCUCGGACAGAGGCCGAAUUUACUAAUUCAGCUCUUGAUGAACCGAGCUUCCCUUUUGCAGUGUAGUCCAGACCUUCUUGACGAUGUCCAGGGUUUCGGCGGCCGGAUUAUGGUGCCGCUUGAGAAGGCCGCUCUAUACUUCUGCUGCUAGGGCUGCGUUAUGCUCCUCUGUGCGGAGGGAACGUUCUGUGUUUCCAUUUACUGUAAUGACGCCGCGUGGACCGGGCAUCUUGAGCUUGAGAUAAGCAUAAUGCGGCACCGCGUUGAAUUUAGUGAACGUGGUUCGUCCGAGCAUUGCGUGGUAGCCGCUGCGGAAGGGGGCGAUAUCGAAGAUUAGCUCUUCGCUUUGGAAGUUAUCCGGGGAACCGAAGACCACCUCCAGCGUGAUCGAGCCCGUACAACGGGCUUCUAUGCCUGGUACAACUCCUUUAAAGGUAGUUGUCGUGGGCUUGAUUCGUGAGGGAUUAAUGCAUAUACUGUAUCCUGAUAGAGCUGGUUGAGGCUGCUAACACCAUCCAUUAGGACUCGUGUCAUGUGAAAUCCAUCGAUGAUUGGGUCGAGUACCAAUGCGGCCGAACCGCCAUGACGGAUGCUAGUUGGAUGAUCACUACGAUCGAAGGUGAUCGAGAAUGACGACCGUGGGUUGAACUUUGGGGCGACUGGCUCUACCGUGUAAACGUCCCUAAGUGCGUGCUUGCGCUCCCUUUUGGGGAUGUGCGUAGCAUAUAUCAUGUUCACCGUUUUGACUUGUGGCCGGAAUUUCUUCUGCCCCCCAGUGUUCGGCUGCCGGGGCUCCUCGUCUUCGUCCUUGCUCUGUGAUUCCCCUUCCUUGUUUCCGAUAUUUACCUUGCUGGCUUGCUUAAAGACCUAGCAAUCUCUGUUAGUAUGGUUGGCCGGUUUGUUUGGGGUGCCAUGUAUCUAGCAAGGACGAUUGAGUAUGCAGUCCAAGCUGGAUGGUCCUCCACCGUUCCUUUUAUAGGGCUUCUUUCGCUGGUCGGAAUGGGAGCCGCUGAAACCGGUGUGAACUGUGGUGUCAUCGGUGUUAUUGCCAUUGCUUCAGCGUUUGUGUCUGUUGCACCGGAGCUUGCUGGUGCUAUUUUUGGCCUUGGAGGGGCCUGCUUUGUUGGUUGUAUUUGUACUGCGAGCCAGCCAACUAUCUUCUCCUGCACAAAAGCGGGUCAUAAGUGUUGUGACGGCUGCCAUAGACCUUGGCUUUUCCUGGUCGAGGUGGCGGGCUAGCCAUUCGUCACGGAUGCUGUGUUUAAAGGCCGCUAGGGCUUCGGCAUCCGGACAGUCAACGAUCUGGUUCUUUUUGGUUAGGAAGCUAGUCCAGAAUUUUCUGGCUGAUUCUCUAGGUUGUUGAACUAUGUGGCUUAGGUCAUCAGCAUCGGGUGACCGGACAUAUGUACCUUGAAAGUUGUCGAGGAAGGCUUCUUCCAAGACCUCCCAGCUGCCAAUGGAAUUUUCAGGCAGGUUUUUCAGCCAGUGGCGAGCUGGUCCUUUGAGCUUUAAUGAGAGGUAUUUGAUAGCGUGGAGGUCAUCUCCUCGGUCCAUGUGGAUGUGGAGAAUAAAAUCUUCGACACACACUGCGGGAUCGGUUAUUACGUCGUAUGAUUCAGUAUUGAUGGGUUUGAACCCCUCGGGGAAUUCGUGAUCCAGCACCUCAUCUGUGAAGCAGAGAGGGUGUGCGGCGCCUCUAUAUUGGGCCGUGUCACAGCGCACCUCCAAUGAAGUUCUUCUAUGGUUAUUGGCCCGGAUGUGACUAGGUUUGUCAUGUCCGAAUAGGUAGCUAUCGUCCCGAGUCGGGAAGCGUCCUCGUGAUCCGUAGAUUGAUCUGGUAUGUCCUCCUCUGCUGGCUAGAUCCCGCCGAAGGUCGUGUGUAUGGUCCCGAGCUGUUCCAUCCCUAUUUUUGUGAAGCGGUGGGGCGGGCUGUUGUUCGGCCUGAGUUGCCGCUUUAUCCCGACCGUGGGGUGGUCGGUCCACCGUACUAUCCUGACCACAUGGUGGUCGGUCCGCAUUGCAUGAGGGCGGUAUGGGAUCCGGUGCUUCCUCAUCAAACUGAGGUCGCAGUCUGCGCUUCGGGUAACUCUUGACUGGACUCUCGAGGCCGUAUUCUUCGGCUGCCAGGACAUCAGUCCACCUAUAGAUGAGCAGGUCUUGAUCGGCCUAGAGCUGCUGCUGCUUCCUUUUUAGGCUUCUGGCAGUAGCUAUUAGCUGGCGCUUGAAGCAUUCCUGCUCUAGGGGUGUCUCAGGUAUGAUGAAAUCCUUGCUACCGAGGCUCUCCUCAUCUCCGGAGACUGGACGAUAACUAUCAUCAUCGGAGUUAUUGGGCGUGGCCUAUUUAUCAGGGUCAUCUUGCCGGUUGUCUUGUUCCUCCUGUUCGGACGUAGCUCCAACAGGGUCUUUAUUUUUUUCGGCGUCGCCCAGAGUAGCAUUUUCUCCGGUGCCAGUGUUGUCAUCCUUUGAGCGACGAGGCUUAGAGUGGCAUAUUGGGUGCCGACGCUUGGACUGUGUCUCAGAAGGUUUAUCCGUGACUGGAUCCCUUUUGUCAUCGUCGCUAGCUUCUGUAGGUGUGUUGAUCAUGUACACAUCGUAUGAAGAGGUGGCUGUCCAAGGUCCAGUAAAUGGCGGGUUUUGGCCUUGUUCCUGGUCGACAUCGUCGUUCAUACCGUCGAUGUUUUUGGAGCCGUAAUCGAGCACAUUGGUUAAGUCAUCGACAGUGGCUAUGAAGUGGGCGGCGGGUGGGAAACAAAAUUUCCCAUCAUCAGCCUCUAGCUCGAACCGAACAUAGUUCGGUUGUGAGUCCUUCUCCAAGGACAAGUUCUGUAAAGAGUUUAGCACAUCACUCAAGGGUGAGUGCAGGAAGAUGUCUGCGGUGCUAAAUUUGAAAAUCGAUAACCGAUCCAGCUCGGUGUCCGCAGGCGUGCCCGGUCCGGGACUCAUAGCCGGAGAUGAAUCCAGAGUUCUAUUGGCGAAAAUAUCGCGAGGUGUCAAGUAUGUGUGCGGCUCCAACGCUGAGGACUCUGUGGCAUUGGGUGGCAUGAUUUUCUCCGGUUGUAAGGCCAUUGCAGCAAUAGGGACCAUCCGCUGGAUGUGAUCUGAUGAAAGAUUUAAGUCAUGUUCAUCGGAGCGAGGGCGAGCGAUCGCUGCAGUCUCAAAUCCAUUGAAGAUCAAGUCUCCACGGAUAUCCGUGAUGUAGUUCAAGCUUCCAAAUCUGACCUGGUGGCCAGGGGCGUAGCUAUCGAUCUGCUCCAGAUGGCCGAGUGAGUUGGCCCGUAGUACGAAGUCACCGAACACGAAAAUCUGUCCGGGGAGGAAGGUUUCUCCUUGGACAUCGUCACUAUAGACGAUUGAAGGGGCCAUCGAACCUUUCGUCGACGACACAAUGGAACUCUCAAUGAAAGCACCAAUGUCAGUGUCAAAACCGGCGGAUCUCGGGUAGGGGUCCCGAACUAUGCGUCUAGGAUCGAUGGUAAUAGGAGACAGGGGACACAAUGUUUACCCAGGUUCGGGCCCUCUCUAUGGAGGUAAUACCCUAUGUCCUGCUUGAUUGAUAUUGAUGAAUAUGGGUGUUACAAGAGUUGAUCUACCAUGAGAACGUAAUAGCUAAACCCUAGAAGCCUA